UCGAGAAUCAUUCACAAUGGGGGCAACCCUGAUGGUGCAACGCCGCGUGGAGGAUGACGGUCCUAGGAUUGUAAACUCCUGUCAUUGGGGAGUAAGACUUGUGCGUUAAGAGCGUGCAAGUUUGAUAGUACCCAAAGAGGAAGGGACGGCUAACUUCGUGCCAGCAGCCGCGGUAAUACGAAGGUCCCAAGCGUUGUUCGGAAUCACUGGGCGUAAAGCGUGUGCAGGCGGCGCGGAAAGUCAAAUGUGAAAGCCCGGGGCUCAACCCCGGAACUGCAUUCGAUACUCCCGUGCUGGAGUAAUGGAGAGGCAAGUGGAAUUCUCGGUGUAGCAGUGAAAUGCGUGGAUAUCGAGAGGAACAUCAAUGGCGAAGGCAACUUGCUGGACAUUUACUGACGCUGAGACACGAAGGCCAGGGUAGCGAAAGGGAUUAGAUACCCCCGUAGUCC
This 449-nucleotide ribosomal RNA is filed under the name uncultured prokaryote. Its description in RNAcentral is "bacterial SSU rRNA". It matches the Rfam family "Bacterial small subunit ribosomal RNA", at positions 355 to 796 of the family's 1533-position model. The record is from RNAcentral.